This 138-nucleotide ribosomal RNA is filed under the name uncultured bacterium. Its description in RNAcentral is "partial 16S ribosomal RNA". It matches the Rfam family "Bacterial small subunit ribosomal RNA", at positions 355 to 509 of the family's 1533-position model. The record is from RNAcentral.
UGGGGGAUAUUGCACAAUGGGGGGAACCCUGAUGCAGCGACGCCGCGUGGGUGAAGAAGCGCCUCGGCGCGUAAAGCCCUGUCAGCAGGGAAGAAAAUGACGGUACCUGAAGAAGAAGCCCCCGGCUAACUACGUGCC